UACAGAGGGUGCAAGCGUUAAUCGGAAUUACUGGGCGUAAAGGGUGCGUAGGUGGUUGUUUAAGUUAGAUGUGAAAGCCCCGGGCUUAACCUGGGAACUGCAUUUAAUACUGGGCGACUAGAGUAGAGUAGAGGAAGGCGGAAUUUCCGGUGUAGCGGUGAAAUGCGUAGAUAUCGGAAAGAACACCAGUGGCGAAGGCGGCCUUCUGGGCUCAUACUGACACUGAGGCACGAAAGCGUGGGGAGCAAAC
This 250-nucleotide ribosomal RNA is filed under the name uncultured bacterium. Its description in RNAcentral is "partial 16S ribosomal RNA". It matches the Rfam family "Bacterial small subunit ribosomal RNA", at positions 524 to 773 of the family's 1533-position model. The record is from RNAcentral.